GACGAACGCUGGCGGCGUGCUUAACACAUGCAAGUCGAACGGAAAGGCCCUGCUUUUGUGGGGUGCUCGAGUGGCGAACGGGUGAGUAACACGUGAGUAACCUGCCCUUGACUUUGGGAUAACUUCAGGAAACUGGGGCUAAUACCGGAUAGGAGCUCCUGCUGCAUGGUGGGGGUUGGAAAGUUUCGGCGGUUGGGGAUGGACUCGCGGCUUAUCAGCUUGUUGGUGGGGUAGUGGCUUACCAAGGCUUUGACGGGUAGCCGGCCUGAGAGGAUGACCGGCCACAUUGGGACUGAGAUACGGCCCAGACUCCUACGGGAGGCAGCAGUGGGGAAUAUUGCACAAUGGGCGGAAGCCUGAUGCAGCAACGCCGCGUGCGGGAUGACGGCCUUCGGGUUGUAAACCGCUUUCGCCUGUGACGAAGCGUGAGUGACGGUAAUGGGUAAAGAAGCACCGGCUAACUACGUA
RNAcentral lists this ribosomal RNA (468 nucleotides) under uncultured bacterium. RNAcentral describes it as "partial 16S ribosomal RNA". It matches the Rfam family "Bacterial small subunit ribosomal RNA", at positions 28 to 507 of the family's 1533-position model. The record is from RNAcentral.